UAGACAACAGUCCUGAUCCUGGGCA
This 25-nucleotide microRNA is filed under the name Equus caballus (horse). Its description in RNAcentral is "eca-miR-9066". Lineage: Eukaryota; Metazoa; Chordata; Mammalia; Perissodactyla; Equidae. The record is from miRBase by way of RNAcentral.